Long non-coding RNA from Mustela lutreola (European mink), 5676 nucleotides. RefSeq lists it as uncharacterized. The transcript has 9 exons. The record is from RefSeq and is a predicted model, not a curated record. NCBI's taxonomy places the organism in Eukaryota, Metazoa, Chordata, Mammalia, Carnivora, Mustelidae.
CCUGUAAGGAGAGGCAAAGAAAUCGACAUUAUUUCACACUAGCUUUUCUGGACAGUGGCUUUGGAGAUGGUGGGUGAGAUAGGGAUCUAAGCUGCGGGUAAGCUUCAGCUCUCAGCCCUGUGUCUCCGUAUGCUGCCUGCUAAUGCUAAGCCACAGCUUCCUUUUUUCUAAGUUUCCACAUGUUUCCUCUGUAGCUGCAAGGCUGUCCAGGCUGCAAGAAGGAGCCCCUGGGGCCCAGACAUGGGCUGAGCUCUGUCCUGGCCCCACUCCAUUCCAACUUGGCACGAGGAGAGGAGGACAUGUCUUCGGAGCAGAACAGAUGAAAAGCGCACGAUUUCUGAUUCAGAAAACCCUGGAGCUAGAGGUUCUCAGAUGUUCCUGCUCCGUGAUCCUCUUCCGUUCUCUUCUUACCCGGCACACAAGAAAACCAUGAGGAGUAGUGGGCAGAGAGUGCCCAGGAGACCUGAGUUUGAGUUCUGUGUAAUCUUGGGUUCCCACGACUCACUCUGGGCUAGGGCUUCUAGCAGUAAAUGACCAAAGCAGACAGAGGUCCUUCUAAGUUGCAAUUCCUGGGGCCUUAAACUUCAAGGGCUUGCAGAACCUUCCCUGCAACACCACCUUCCCUUCUGCCCGCCCCGCAGUGGCCCACAUGCCCAGGGCUCGGUUUCUCGUGUCUCUGCUGCUCUGUCUGCGCCAGAGCCUGGCUCUUUGCCACCUACCUUCUGGGUGGAGUGGAGGGUGCUGAGGGCUUGUGUUUAGAAGGGAAGUGAGAGAAGUCUGAGCCUGCUGCAAGCCUGGGUCGCUUGGGGAGGGUCGGGAGGGUGAGGUGGCUCAAAGUUUGUGUUUAUUUCUGUUUGCCUGGUGGAAAUGGAGACUGGGGUGCUGGGAGCCAGAGACGAUCCAAUAAACACGAUUUGUGGGGCUCUACUCCCUGAGCAUUUCACUUCUCUGCUUCAGGAUUUUUGCCUGAAACCUUUCAACACCGAGCUCUUAGCUAAAGCUUGGCACUGUUCCUCAGCCGCUGGCCUUCCUGUCCAACCGGCCGGGCUGCCAAAAGCGGCUCAUUGUGUUUUGGGGCAGUGGGGUUUAGUAAGACCUAUGAUCUCAUUCUUACAUUUUUCUCCUCACAGCCCACACUGGAACUACAAAUCUCAAGCCCGACAUGGAGCUGAAGAAGCUGAAAUGACAGCGGGGUCCACAUUGGGGAAACUAAGGAGGGGUAUUAAGAGAGAUGUUAUGAGAAACAUCAAUAUGGCCCCUCCAUUAUCUGGGUAUUCCAGAGGAAACCUCCAGAAUGGCCCACUCCCCAAACGUAGAAACAUCUAAAGCUAGUGAGAUUUCGUGACCCAUAGUAUUCUCUGCUUGGUGCCCGGUGAUAUGCUCAGUGGAGGUAAAAAUGCAAAGUAUGGCCUGGAAAGAAUUUUUUUUUUUUUUAACGGUUUUUCAGAAGUGACUGCCAUCCGUAGCACUCCGCACGUGAAGUGGCAGAUGGAGUUGCACGCGCCCCAGGGGAGGGAGGAUGUGUGCAGCGAGUUCUUUCUGACUCCAGUGUGUUUCUUACUAAGACACAGGAAGGCCCGUGCCAUUCGAUGCCUCGGCUCAUCGCUGCUCAAGACUCAAUUCAGCCCAAAUUACUCUUGUUGGAGAAGUGAACUUGGAUGGUUCCUUUAACGAGGCAGGAAGGGGAAAUUCCAUCUUCUGCCUGAGCUCCGCACAGCCUGCCCGAAGGCUGAGGGGUCUGGAUGCCGAGCCGGUGACCGACUUGGAUCCAGGAGCAGUGGAGUCAGCAGAUCUGAAGGCUCUGGCUCGCUUGGAAGCAGAUGCCAUUAAAGCAGAACAGAAUCUCCUCCAAACAGGCUGCCACCCCAGCUCACAUGGCCACCAUCUGCUGUAGCAGUGUCCCCACUGUUCUGUGCUCCUGGCUUCUUCUGGUUACCUUCCCAGGCAAGGGGUGCUGCCUGGUUGGGCAGGCUGUAAGCUAGAAAUAAUGGCUUUAGCACCCCGACUCAAGGCAGGAGCAGACCUCUCUACUGUGGAGUCGGGCCAGUGCCGGGAGAAGUUGGUGGUGGCCCCAUCUGCUUCCUUCCUCUCACCAGUUCCCUCCCUCCGGUCCCCGCCCGUUCUUUCUUCAGGCCUCUGGGGCUCUCUCUCGCUUGGCAGCUACAUCUGGUGGGCCGGCUCGGAGCUAUGAGCUUCUGCCUCCCAGCUAGUGGGAUAUGCAGUUUGACAGAGAGCCCCGGGAAGAAAGCAGAGCUGAUUCCAGAGGAAUGGACUUGUGAAUGGUGCCUGGGCACAUGCCCAGCUUGUUGGCUCCCAGGCCAGGGAGAUACUAUUGCCGAAGGUGGCCUUUGGAGUGUCCGUCCUCUGAAUUAGACCAUCUAGGUCAUUGGCUACGUUUUUGGGAGUAGGGCUGGCACUGACACAAAUUAAUUUCUAAUUCUGCCCUCCGAGUAGCGGAACCCAAGAUCUGGGACUGUUGGCAUUUAGUAGGCUGCCCUGGGGGCGAUUUCUUCAGACAUUUGUGCCACUUCUUUUAGCAAAGGGUUUGGACCUGGUCCUAACUGUAGGGCUUUGGGUGUCUUACGGAGCUAAAACAAAGUAUCAUGGACUAUGUGGCUUAAACAACAAACGUUUAUCUCUCAUAGUUUUGGAUGCCGGGAAUCCGAGACGCUGCUGCUGGCUGAUCUGGUUCCUGGUGGGAGGUCGUGGAUGCUGGCCUCCUUCUGGCCAUCAGAGGGUGUGGGGGAGGUUGAGAACCCAGGUACUCCGAUUUCUAGUCCAUUGUUAUUUCAGCAACCUUCUUGUGUCGCAGGUACCAGUUGUUCUUUUAGUUACAAUGUCUCCUCCAGACUUCCUUUGGCAAGAAAUCUGUGCUUCUGAAGUCAAUUUAAUAAUAAGGAUAUCUGUCCUCCAAUGGAACUUGAAACCUAAGGACUUACAGAUGACACCAUCAAACAAGUAACAUCUGCCUCAAAAACCAGGCCUAACAUAUAUAUUCUGCUCUGGGCAAAAGCAACAGGACCUCUUAUAAAGAGAGCUGACAACUUGAAUAACUGUAUCGCAUGGUCGUGGAGAUCAAACGGUGGCAAGAGUCACCUGAGACAGAAAGCAUUUCACAUGCUGUCAACAGGAAGCUUGAGACCCUUGCUUGACCCGAUCGAUAUGAUGAAGAAUGAGAAAGACUGUGCCAUCCAGUUGGGGGGGGGGGUGGCGGUUAGUAAGGGCAAGCACGUGGGAGGAAGGAGACCAAGGGACAGAGAGGCCAAGGGUGGCACAGUAGGAAGGCAAAAGGCACCCAUUUCCCCCAGCUUGACGCACUGACUCCUAGAGGCAGGUGUGUUCUGUGCUGGAAAGGAACGGACCGAAAGGCUGUCCUCAGAAUCCUGCAGCCCGCUCUUCGGCGGGGCGCACCAAGCGAACCACCUUCAGGCUAUAUUUCCAGGCUGGCCAGAUGAGACACACACGAGGGUCCUGAAAGCUGCAAGGCUCAGUGGGAAGAAUGGGACACAGCAUCUCCCACCAGGUGAAGGGAAAGGACGAACCCAAGGUACUGACGACGAAGAAGACUGGAGGGGACUUUUGUAGAAACAACCAUAACGGAACAGGAAACGGAAGAGGUGCAGGGGCGUGGCAGUGCAGGGCAGAGCCCCUGAGGAGAGGAACUGGCAUUUUAUGCAUUACUCCCAUCUGCUGGUUGGCCACAAGCCCUCUGUGGAGUCCAAGGGACCUGUGAAACCACCCGAGCAGUCCCAAGGCUGUCUUCCAUAUUUGGAAGGGAAGAGGUUGAGGUCUCGGAGAGGAGGAAAGAUGAGAAACACUUGUGCUAUACCGACCUAGUGAUUGAUUUGUUUUCUACCUCAACUCCAUUUGACACGUGAGCUUUGACAAGUCACAAGUGUCCACAGGGAACUCAUCUGCAAAAUGGAGCCCAUCCUCCAGGUGUGAACAGGAUGUUUUGAAGUCAAUACCAUCGAACAUGAGGCUGCUUCUCCCGAUGCAGCAGAGAUUGAAAUGUCACAGCAGCAUGAUCAAUUAGAUGAUGGAGAAUAGAGGCAUUUGCUACCUGACCUUAAUCCACCGGGCCAGAGGGACUGCAUGGAGAAGACUGAAUGUGGAGAGACUCCCAGGCAGAGGAAAGUGGCAGAGGAGAGUUCAAACGGGUGCCGAGCCGCUUAAAUGUUGACUCAUGACGAAAAGGAUAUCCUCAGGAUAAAGGCUUAUGAUGACACGUAUUGGUUCACUCAUUCAGUUCUGAGUGAGGACAAAAUAAACAUAAGCACCUUUUAACAGCAGCAAAAAAAAAAAAAAAUAUGGUAGAAAAGGAAGCAGGUAAGUUUUUGCAAAAAGUCUGGAUUUUGGAUCAUGUAACCUGCUGAACUGAAGUGACAAGGAGAAAGACGCCAAUGACAUGCAGCUGUCAGAUGCUCUACGAAGAAGACAGUGGGAGAUGUGACUAAGGCACCAGGAGAGCUGUCUUUCUCUCUUUAAAGCCCUGUCCUGGGAAGGAGGGUUAGACACCUUGGGAUGGGAAUGACAGACAGGAGGGGUGUGACUUACUCGAAGGAAUGGCUCCCCAGUAUUUGGAACUUGACAACGGUCUCUGGAGCCACCCUGACCGGCUUCCCUGGGGCUGCUUCGGCGGAUAAACACGGUGGUAGAGGGUGGUAGAGGGAUUCUUGCGUUAAACUAGAUGACUUCAAUCACUCCCUAAUAUGCCUGCCCUGGAGCUUCAUACCCUCCUUGGAGAGGUCUAAGAUGGCCCUGAGGCUUGUUGAGGAGCAGAACUAAAUGAACUUCGGAGCUGCUUAGGCUUUGAUAGAAUCAGUCCUUCUCGGCAGCAUGUGUGCGCAUCACCGUGGGCCUGGGAAUGGUUGCGAGUCUAUUUUGAUUAUGGACAGCUGGUGUUCGCUAAGGGCUUUAUCGGAUUAGUCAUCCGCAGUAACAAUGAUAUGAAGCCUUUCCCCUGGAUGAUUAGUCGAGAUCUGUUAUGUUUACUCUUUCAGUUUUAUACUUAUUUUUCUUUUCCGUUUAAGGACAACUCAAUGUAAAAGGGUGUUGUGGUUGGGAAUCUGUUUUCCCAAAAAAAGCCACUAUUUUUUCCUAGGAUCCAUUUGGUUGUUUCUAUUUGUGGAGUUCCAUUGCGAGACAGCAGUUUAUCAUAGCUGUGGAAAACCAGCAGGAGGUUCAGAGGAAAGCCAUGGAAACGAUGAAGACCAGGAAAAUGAAAUGCAAACAUGUAUCCUGGGGAGGUGGAUGGAUACUAUGGUAGACAUUUCAGGGAAGACCACCUUUCCAGGAUCCAUGAUCUCCCUCCUGCUACUAUCUCCAUUCUCAGCCAGGAGGUUUAGGUCUCCUCCUUGGAUUUGGCUGGGGCCAACUCUUUGGCUCAGGGGAGGAACACAUUGGUCCCGGAUGCAGCUUCUGGCUGAUUCGCUCUGGCGUUUUCUCAGGGAGGGGACAAACUGAAAGAGAGAGAGAAUCUUAAGCAGCCUCCAUGCCCAACACAGAGCCUGAUGUAGGGCUCUAUCUCACCACCCUAGAUCAUGAGCUGAGCCAAAAUCAAGAGACGGAUGCUUACCCGACUGAGCCACCUAGGAGCUCCUCAGGGAUAUCUGCUGAGAAACACAACUGCACUUGUGACAUGGGACCAAGGGGGACAGAACUAGAGCCAAAGGU